This 805-nucleotide ribosomal RNA is filed under the name Paenibacillus sp. RNAcentral's name for it is "bacterial SSU rRNA". It matches the Rfam family "Bacterial small subunit ribosomal RNA", at positions 21 to 806 of the family's 1533-position model. Lineage: Bacteria; Bacillati; Bacillota; Bacilli; Caryophanales; Paenibacillaceae. The record is from RNAcentral.
GGCUCAGGACGAACGCUGGCGGCGUGCCUAAUACAUGCAAGUCGAGCGGACUUGAUGGAGAGCUUGCUCUCCUGAUGGUUAGCGGCGGACGGGUGAGUAACACGUAGGCAACCUGCCUGCAAGACCGGGAUAACCCACGGAAACGUGAGCUAAUACCGGAUAUCUCAUUUCCUCUCCUGAGGGAAUGAUGAAAGACGGAGCAAUCUGUCACUUGCGGAUGGGCCUGCGGCGCAUUAGCUAGUUGGUGAGGUAACGGCUCACCAAGGCGACGAUGCGUAGCCGACCUGAGAGGGUGAACGGCCACACUGGGACUGAGACACGGCCCAGACUCCUACGGGAGGCAGCAGUAGGGAAUCUUCCGCAAUGGGCGAAAGCCUGACGGAGCAACGCCGCGUGAGUGAUGAAGGUUUUCGGAUCGUAAAGCUCUGUUGCCAGGGAAGAACGUCCGGUAGAGUAACUGCUAUCGGAGUGACGGUACCUGAGAAGAAAGCCCCGGCUAACUACGUGCCAGCAGCCGCGGUAAUACGUAGGGGGCAAGCGUUGUCCGGAAUUAUUGGGCGUAAAGCGCGCGCAGGCGGUCAUUUAAGUCUGGUGUUUAAGGCCAAGGCUCAACCUUGGUUCGCACUGGAAACUGGGUGACUUGAGUGCAGAAGAGGAGAGUGGAAUUCCACGUGUAGCGGUGAAAUGCGUAGAUAUGUGGAGGAACACCAGUGGCGAAGGCGACUUUCUGGGCUGUAACAGACGUUGAGGCGCGAAAGCGUGGGGAGCAAACAGGAUUAGAUACCCUGGUAGUCCACGCCGUAAA